ACAGUACAAACUGAGCAGGCGAUGAAACCAUGUGGUUUCUUAAAGCCGGGCUGGCAACAGCAGCAGAUUGAAUUUUUUCACAUCUGUGGGACAGUA
RNAcentral lists this non-coding RNA (96 nucleotides) under unclassified sequences. RNAcentral's name for it is "NiCo sequence". It matches the Rfam family "NiCo (Nickel/Cobalt) riboswitch aptamer". The record is from RNAcentral.